Molecule: ribosomal RNA, 468 nt
Filed under: uncultured bacterium
Lineage: Bacteria
Description: partial 16S ribosomal RNA
Rfam family: Bacterial small subunit ribosomal RNA
Source: RNAcentral
GACGAACGCUGGCGGCGUGCUUAACACAUGCAAGUCGAACGGAAAGGCCCUGCUUUUGUGGGGUGCUCGAGUGGCGAACGGGUGAGUAACACGUGAGUAACCUGCCCUUGACUUUGGGAUAACUUCAGGAAACUGGGGCUAAUACCGGAUAGGAGCUCCUGCUGCAUGGUGGGGGUUGGAAAGUUUCGGCGGUUGGGGAUGGACUCGCGGCUUAUCGGCUUGUUGGUGGGGUAGUGGCUGACCAAGGAUUUGACGGGUAGCCGGCCUGAGAGGGUGACCGGCGACAUUGGGACUGAGAGAGGGCCCAGACGCCUACGGGAGGCAGCAGUGGGGAAUAUUGCACAAUGGGCGGAAGCCUGAGGCAGCAACGCCGCGUGCGGGAUGACGGCCUUCGGGUUGUAAACCGCUUUCGCCUGUGACGAAGCGUGAGUGACGGUAAUGGGUAAAGAAGCACCGGCUAACUACGUG